CUACGGGGUGCACCAGUGAGGAAUAUUGCACAAUGGGGGGAACCCUGAUGCAGCAACGCCGCGUGGAGGAUGACGCAUUUCUUUUUGUAAACUCCUUUUAUAUGUCAAGAAAAUGACGGUAGCAUAUGAAUAAGCACCGGCUAACUCCGUGCCAGCAGCCGCGGUAAUACGGAGGGUGCAAGCGUUACUCGGAAUCACUGGGCGUAAAGGACGCGUAGGCGGGUUGGAAAGUCAGGUGUGAAAUCCUACAGCUUAACUGUAGAACUGCACUUGAAACUUCUAAUCUAGAGUAUGGGAGGGGGAGAUGGAAUUAGUGGUGUAGGGGUAAAAUCCGUAGAUAUCACUAGGAAUACCUAAAGCGAAGGCGAUCUCCUGGAACAUUACUGACGCUAAGGCGUGAAAGCGUGGGGAGCAAACAGGAUUAGAUACCCGUGUAGUC
RNAcentral lists this ribosomal RNA (439 nucleotides) under uncultured bacterium. RNAcentral's name for it is "partial 16S ribosomal RNA". It matches the Rfam family "Bacterial small subunit ribosomal RNA", at positions 339 to 795 of the family's 1533-position model. The record is from RNAcentral.